This 595-nucleotide ribosomal RNA is filed under the name uncultured Bacteroidota bacterium. Its description in RNAcentral is "bacterial SSU rRNA". It matches the Rfam family "Bacterial small subunit ribosomal RNA", at positions 122 to 715 of the family's 1533-position model. Lineage: Bacteria; Pseudomonadati; Bacteroidota. The record is from RNAcentral.
CAACCUACCUAUCAGAGGGGAAUAACCCGGCGAAAGUCGGACUAAUACCGCAUAAAACAGGGGCACCGCAUGGUGAUAUUUGUUAAAGAAAUUCGCUGAUAGAUGGGCAUGCGUUCCAUUAGGUAGUUGGUGAGGUAACGGCUCACCAAGCCGACGAUGGAUAGGGGAACUGAGAGGUUGGUCCCCCACACUGGUACUGAGACACGGACCAGACUCCUACGGGAGGCAGCAGUGAGGAAUAUUGGUCAAUGGGCGAGAGCCUGAACCAGCCAGGUCGCGUGAAGGAAGAAGGAUCUAUGGUUCGUAAACUUCUUUUGCAGGGGAAUAAAGUGCAGGACGUGUCCUGUUUUGUAUGUACCCUGAGAAUAAGGAUCGGCUAACUCCGUGCCAGCAGCCGCGGUAAUACGGAGGAUCCGAGCGUUAUCCGGAUUUAUUGGGUUUAAAGGGUGCGUAGGUGGUUUGAUAAGUCAGCGGUGAAAGUUUGCAGCUUAACUGUAAAAAUGCCGUUGAAACUGUCGGACUUGAGUGUAAAUGAGGUAGGCGGAAUGCGUGGUGUAGCGGUGAAAUGCAUAGAUAUCACGAAGAACUCCGAUUG